RNAcentral lists this ribosomal RNA (484 nucleotides) under uncultured bacterium. RNAcentral's name for it is "bacterial SSU rRNA". It matches the Rfam family "Bacterial small subunit ribosomal RNA", at positions 28 to 507 of the family's 1533-position model. The record is from RNAcentral.
GAUGAACGCUAGCGGCAGGCUUAACACAUGCAAGUCGAGGGGCAGCGCGGGUAGCAAUACUUGGUGGCGACCGGCGCAAGGGUGCGUAACGCGUGAGCAACAUGCCCGUAUCAGGGGGAUAAUCCAGGGAAACUUGGUCUAAUACCCCAUAGCAAUUAAAGGAGGCAUCUUUUUUAAUUUAAAGCUUUGGUGGAUACGGAUUGGCUCGCGUGACAUUAGCUAGAUGGUAAGGUAACGGCUUACCAUGGCUACGAUGUCUAGGGGUUCUGAGAGGAAGAUCCCCCACACUGGAACUGAGACACGGUCCAGACUCCUACGGGAGGCAGCAGUGAGGAAUAUUGGACAAUGGAUGGAAAUCUGAUCCAGCCAUGCCGCGUGCAGGAAGACGGCCCUAUGGGUUGUAAACUGCUUUUGUAUGGGAGCAAUAAGGUCUAUGCGUAGACUGAUGAGAGUACCAUACGAAUAAGCAUCGGCUAACUCCGUG